Molecule: RNA transcript, 1349 nt
Organism: Malus domestica (apple)
Lineage: Eukaryota; Viridiplantae; Streptophyta; Magnoliopsida; Rosales; Rosaceae
Gene name: RHOMBOID-like protein 5
Source: RefSeq, a predicted model, not a curated record
AACUCGUUCCUUGCCACCCAGUGCCAAUAUCUCUCAUUUUAGUCCUCCCUGUAACUUGGUGGUGCACAUUAGCAUCUGCCAAAAGCGCCGGUGCAGUGUGCGCCUCUACCUCUUCCUCUUCCUCUUCCUCUACCACCCCCCGUGGCCGGAAAAAAUGGGGGAGAGACCGCCAUCCUCCGAAGACAUGGAGAAGGGGCGCGAAAAGAGACAAAAGUCUCGGCAUUCCAUGCCCCCGCCCCAUUUGUGCCCCCCUCCUCCUAAGCCAUGGGUGCCGUGGCUCAUGCCAAUCGUGUUUGUCGUCAAUGUUGCCAUGUUCGUGUACACGAUGUACGUCAAUGACUGUCCAACUACAGGGGAAAAGUGUCUUUUUCCUUUCUUUAAGAGGUUCUCUUUCCAACCCUUCAGAGAAAACCCUCUUCUUGGUCCUGCCGCACUUACUCUAAAGAAACUAGGAGCCCUUGAACUGCAAUUAGUGGUGGAAGGGGGCGAAGGAUGGCGCCUCUUGUCUUGCAUGUGGCUUCAUGCUGGAGUCGUUCACUUGCUCUUCAAUAUGCUGAGCCUUCUAUUCAUAGGAAUAAGGCUUGAGCAGGAAUUCGGAUUUAUCAGAAUAGGGUUCCUGUAUCUGCUUGCUGGAAUAGGAGGAAGUUUAGGAUCGACUCUACAUCGCAUGAGAACCGCAAGCCCAACUAUCUCAGUUGGUGCAUCUGGAGCACUUUUUGGAUUGCUGGGAGCCAUGCUUUCCGAGCUUCUAAUAAACUGGACAAUCUACGUGAAUAAGUGCACAGCGCUCCUGAUACUCAUGGUUGUCAUUGCCGUGAAUAUGGCUGUUGGGUUUAUACCUAAAGUGGACAGUUCAGCUCAUAUAGGAGGAUUCCUUGCAGGAUUUUUCCUUGGCUUUGUUAUUCUAGUUCGUCCACAGUAUGGUUAUAUAAGCAGCAGGCACCUUCCAUCAACCUACGAGGGAAGACGUAAAUCUAGGCACAAGUUCUAUCAGUAUGUGCUAGGGAUCACUGCUUUUGUUUUCUUAGUUCUUGGAUACACAUACGGCUUUGGUAAGCUAUACGGUCCUCCGGCACUGAAAAAUCUACCUUAAGUUCUAGAAAUCAAACGAAUAAUCUAGAGAGCUCAACUGCCUACUCAAGAAUUGCAGGAUUAACAAAGUGAUUUUAGCACAUACAGAAGAGGAACGGAAUAUAAGCAAGGACAGCAGGGAGUCUUCUAGGAUAAGGAGAUGGAGAUGAAGGCAAUGCUAUGUUAUAUUUUAAUCGAGGUAGCAAUGUAGAUGAGUUCUGUAAUUUCUGUUUCAGAAUUUUUCUACAUUUUGAUUAAUCAACCCAAGGACUGUUGAA